Molecule: ribosomal RNA, 253 nt
Filed under: uncultured bacterium
Lineage: Bacteria
Description: partial 16S ribosomal RNA
Rfam family: Bacterial small subunit ribosomal RNA
Source: RNAcentral
UACGUAGGGUGCAGGCGUUAAUCGGAAUUACUGGGCGUAAAGCGUGCGCAGGCGGUUUGCUAAGACAGGUGUGAAAUCCCCGGGCUUAACCUGGGAACUGCGCUUGUUACUGGCAGGCUUGAGUGUGGCAGAGGGGGGUGGAAUUCCACGUGUAGCAGUGAAAUGCGUAGAGAUGUGGAGGAACACCGAUGGCGAAGGCAGCCCCCUGGGCUAACACUGACGCUCAUGCACGAAAGCGUGGGGAGCAAAACGG